RNAcentral lists this small nucleolar RNA (107 nucleotides) under Helianthus annuus (common sunflower). RNAcentral describes it as "sRNA HanXRQr2_Chr11g0492271". It matches the Rfam family "Plant small nucleolar RNA R71". From Rfam's summary of the family: R71 is a member of the C/D box family of snoRNAs containing the C (UGAUGA) and D (CUGA) box motifs. Multiple nearly identical copies of this snoRNA have been identified in Arabidopsis, and it is thought to function as a 2'-O-ribose methylation guide for 18S ribosomal RNA. The record is from Rfam by way of RNAcentral. Lineage: Eukaryota; Viridiplantae; Streptophyta; Magnoliopsida; Asterales; Asteraceae.
AGGCCGUGAUGGGGGCACUUGCGUAAUAGCUCCUUGAACCUUUCCCAAGCUUCAUAUAAGGAUUCCCCGUCCUCUUGUGAGUAUGUAUUAAUUUCAGCCAUUAAUUU